AUGGGCCCAGCACCUGUUUUUUCCCCCAGGUGUAGUCUCCAGCCAAAGAUAAAACACAACUUGAAGGUUUUAUCUAGAAAAAGAUAGUAAUAUAAUAAAAUAUGUAUACACAUAAACACACACACACCUUCUUUAAAAGCGUAAUCCACAUGUCAUAUUUUGAUUCUGUGUGUCCAUGUGUAUACAUAUACGUUGUAUAUGUAUGCUCAUAAACACACAUGUCAUCCACAUGUAAUUUUUUGAUUUUGUGUGUCCAUGAAACCUGUUGAGCAUUGAGUGUAUCUUAUUCUAACUCUGCUUAUAAAUACAUCGAUCAGGCAAGCACCUAGGCAAUAUAUGCUAUUUUUCCAACACUUUAACAUUGAGUGCAAUGAAACAGGUUAACUUAUGUACAUAAAAACAUAAAACCAGAAGUGGGUAUGCUGUUGUAAAGGCACACAAUGAAUCUGUUUAGUUCUACAUGCAUUGUCAUAGACCCAGUGGAACAGUUCCAUCAAGGGUCCAUCAAGAGACGAGUUUUAAAAAUGUAUUCCUAGUUCAGGCCAUAUAGGCUAAUUAGACUUUUUCAUUGACUUUUAUAAUUCAAGGGUAAUCUUAAAAAAAGGGUUUUAUUUGUGUCUCUCAGGGUUUUCAGAAUUAAGGACUAUCACACAGAUUAUAUAUUAUAACUAGGAGUAUGUUUCUAAAAUAUGGGUAGUGAAUUUAUAUUUUCUCAUCACAAGGGCUGGGUCACUUGAACAUAUUGUGUUUCCUAUACAUUUACAAUUGUUGUAUACUUCUAAGGCUGCUUUCUUAUUGUCAGAGAAUCCUGACUUGGCCCUUGCAAGACUAGCCAUCCCUGGUGACCCUGAGACAUUGAGCUAAAAUAUAAAAAAAAAUGCUAAGCAUGUGUAGCAUGUGCUACAGCUUUUGAUGCACUCCACAUAUGUUUGGUCCUGCAUUUUAAUAAAGGUUUCAGUACUUGUAUACCUGUAGAGAAGUGUAGAGACCCAACGAGAUAGACAAGUCUGUCAAAAUGUCUGCCUACUAUCUGUAUCUUAAGGGAAGAAAAUUAAGUAAAUACAUGUCAUUUAUGUAUUAUUUUAACAUAUGUACCUGUUUAUUGUCACAUUUUAAUUUUCUAUGGUACUUUAAAGCCUAUUAGCCAAUUUGAGAGUGUGUACAAUAUAUGCUUAAUUUCCACCAAUUUAAAUGCCCAUUAUACUUACCCAUUAUAUAUAUUUUCUAUAGUCAUGUGUGUAUGGUUAAUUUUAAUUUAUAUGGGGCAAUGGGUGGAUUGGCCCUCCAAAACAUUUGAGAAAAAUAUUCAAUAGUUAUUUUUAAUAAAAAAAUAAUUCUAUAUUUUUAAGAGGUUAUAUCGUAGAAAGAUUAUACAAUUGUGCUAAUUAUUAAAUUAACCAGCCACACAUACAGCAAGAUUUAGGAAACUCUCCGAUGGCACAUAUUGUCAAAAAUUUAUCUCACGAUAAAUGAUUCGAGAAGAUGCUAAAUCUAUCAAAAUGUGAUAAAAUAUAGUAGUAUGUUCACAAAAAUCUAUGUUUUUGGAACGUCACACCUCAAACUGUUCUUUAUUUAUACAGACAGUCCUUUGUUUCCACCUAGACAUCUUUUCUAAACUAGUGUUGCCAUAACUUUGGGAUUAAUGUGGCCUAAAAGAACUUCAAUGUGACACUCAGUGUAUGCUUGUGGGGGAACCAUUCAAUUUGGAAACUGUUUUUAGCAGCCAUUAAUUAUGUUAGAAGAGUAAAACCCAGCACUGGAAUUCUUGAAAUAGCUGUUUCACCUAUGAAAUUAUCUCCAAAGGAAAGGUAGAGCACGUAUGUGGUUACAUUUCGUUUGGUAAAGAAUGGAAGCUGCUAUUGGUUAGGCCAGGGAUAGGCAACCUUGGCACUCCAGAUGUUGUGGACUACAUCCCUCACAAUGCUCUUACAUUCAUAAUGCUGGAAAAGCAUCAUGUGAGGUGUAGUCCAAAAUAUCUGGAGUGGCGAAGGUUGCCUAUGCCUGCAUUAGGCUAUAGAUUUGUGGUUUUGAGAAAUAGUUUUACUGUUAUGGAGAAGAUGAUGCAAAACGUACUGAUGAAGAUAUUGGCAUGGUGGAAUAAUAGGAGACUGAUGUAGAGAGUGGAUUGAGGGGUGAUACGUGGGGGGAGGACUAGUAUGGAUGGAAAAGAGAGAACUCAUAUGGUAGAGUUGAAUGGAACUGGCAAUGGAAUUGACAAGGGACUGGUAUAGAAUUUGGUAAAAAGUGGGUAACAUGAAAGGUGGGAUUGGCAGACAUACAUGAAAGGAUAGACAAUGCAUGCAGAGAAAAAAAUAUAUGAAUUUGGAACUUGGAAGGAGAGGAUUGCUAAAUGGAGAAGGGCAAUGGUAUGGUAGUGGGAGACAGAGGGAGAAUGAAGGAAACUGAAUUUGAAAUUGAAGUUUGGUGGAACAAGAGUGAAUAAACAGUGGAAAGAGAUAUAGAGAGGGAGAGAAACAGGGAUUAUAUAUAUCUAUAUAUGUAUAUGAACAAGGCAUAACGUCAGAAUGGGGGUCUGAUAAAGUAAAUAAGGCAUUAUAUAGAUGAGGACAAAGGGGGAAAUUAAAUGUGAUGAGUUUAAAUGUGAUGAAAGUCAUAUGCCACAUGGAUUAGAAUAUUUGGUGAGUAUGUAUGAAGCUUCACAAAACUUCAAAGCAAUUAAACUUGUAAUAAAGUAUGCAUAAACUAAAGUUAACAUAUACAGCAGUCUUUGUGGGCAAAAUCAACUAAUGAAAUAGCUGUCUACUGUGGACUCAAAUAUUCUUAGCAGAGAUUCACACAUGCUCACAUGCUCCCAACUCCUCACUAAUGUUUCUAAAGCAAUUCAUACAUAUUCAUAUUUCUGGACAUGUCAAAUGUCUAGACACAUAUUGUUUAUAAUUAGAGAUCAGAAACACUGGUCAAUUUAAGCUUUAAAUGCAAACUAUUAACAGAUUUGUAAUUUCCAAACAACAAACACGUUUCGAGCUUCUUUCUAAUGACUAAUGCAGUUUUCUAGUUUAAAUCUGGGUUAAGUCUGGACAUAAAUUUGGUGCAGAGUCUUGGCACAUUCUGUUUAAAUUUGGCUCACAUCAUCAUUAAAAACAAGACAGUAGAUGUAUGUUUACAUCAUUAGCAGAGAGAUAUUUUUAUCACAAAAUCUUUUGCUUCUUAAUAUAUUUCUUUAAAUACCGAGCAGUUCAUUUGUUAACUUUAAAAUCAUUACAAUUUUAUGCAUUUAUUUAUAGCUACACUGUGAAUGUUAAGAGAUAUUUAUUGCUAAAUCAUUAGCAGCAUUAAUUACCCUUACAUCAUUAGCUGAGAAAAUAAAGAAAAACUGUAGUGAGUGCUACAUACCCGGUUUGAAUUAAUUCCUCAUUCAAUAAGUGUAAUCUAUUAUAUUAAAAAUAUUUGAAGAUAUUUAUUUACUGAAAGUUCUAAAGAUUCCGAAUAAAAGUUUUAUAAAUGUAUACAUUUCAUUAUAGUAUCUAUUUUUCCACCGGUCAAGCUCACAGUAUUAAACAUAAAGGUUUUCAUGUUAUAGCAGGGUAUUAUCUACAAUUUCUGCAUGAAAGGCUUUCUAAAAAAAUGUUGCACUUAAAGGGACACUGCAGACACAAUAACCAUUUCAUUUAAUUGAAAUGGUUAUGGUGCCAAUAGUCCCCUGGUACUGUCCCUCCAUUCAGUGUUAACAUUUUUUGAGCAGUCGACUGUGAUUGAGGUUGCUGGCUUCCAAUAGUCCCGGCCCCCACACUGUGAUAGGCUGAAACCAGUCAGCUGACACUCUCUGCCAAUUGCAGUCAUCCAUUGCUGCUCAGGCUAAUGCUUCUUCACUACCCAAAGCAGCAUAGAGGGGAUAGACUGCUGGGGACUCUUAUCUACCAUCAAUGCAUUACAUAUGGUUUAACACUGUAUGGAAGAAUGACACCACAAGAUUCCAGACACUGUAGCCAGUUCAGUGAAACAGUUACGAUGCCUAUAGUGUCCCUUUAAAAAAAACAAAAACAAAUUAUAUAAUCUAAAGUAGGUAUAAUAGGAUGUUCUAGGUAUUGUUGAACUACAAACACCAAUGAUCAAAGAUUAGGCUUUAGGUUGUAAAGAGUCAUGUUCCUUGAAAUGAUACAACAAGUGCAGUAACAUUUUUGCCACCCUAACCUAAAGAGUGUAUAUCAUUACACUGUAUUAUGUUACAAUGGUUUUUUAUUCCGUUAAUUUUAUUCCAACGUUCUACAGUCACACGGUUAACACUAUUCAGAUGAAAACAUUCAUAAAUGCAGCCUUCAUAAAGUACAAAUUCAAAGAUUGUAAUUUUGGACUGCAUGGGAGUUGGGUAAUGUAACACAGGAAUAUUCCAGGAACAUUUUACAGCAAAUCCAAGCAGAACUUAAUCAGUAAAUAAAUAAAAAAAUCACAAAAUUAACUUGCAGCUACUGCUCUCAUCGUGACAAUUUAGAAAAAGAGUCUAGAUCAAAACUGAGCAUUAAAAAAAAAUGCCAAGACAUGAAGUUUUCUCUCUUAUUAAUUCUUUUGCUGUCACAGUGUGUUACAACAGACUGCUUGAUCAUUAAUUGCAGUGCCUUCCAGUAGUAAAUCAGUAAAUCCAAAGGCAUGGUUCCUCCCUGUGUGGUAGAGAUCGCAAGAUAGCUGGUGACAAGUUAAUUAAUUUGUCAAACUCAAAUAGUGUGUUGGAAUUGUGCCUCUUUGUAUUAUAUUCUAGUGAAGAAAUUGCCAUUGUGCUACUGUACUUAAAUGGAGUACUUCCAAUACUGAUAUAGCCCACAAUCUCUUGAAAACCACAGUGGUGAAUGCACAGUCGGUAGUCUUGUCACUGCAAAAAUAAAUGUUAAUUUCGAAGCUUCAAUAGAAAAUGCAAUGCAUGUUUUUUGGACGUUUUCCGAUUCAUCAUGAAAAAAGGCUUGAUGAAUCAUGAAUUUGUGUUUCUUCAGAGUAUCCUGUAACCCAGGGAUGUGAAAUGCUCAUUUUGGCCCUCCAACUCAUUAAGACUCCAUUUCCAAGAAUUGUGGGAAAUGAAGUCCGGUCUUUCUGGACAGCCAAGAUUGGACAGUCCUGGUUUAAACAUUCAAUUACAUAAUCCAUAUUUCAAAAAAAAUAUGCAUAUGUAAAAUAAUAUUUUGUUAUAUAUUAGAUACAUUGUUAGUGUAUUCCUCUAGGCUCUAGGUUUGAAAACACAUGUUCUGACUGCUUUCUGCUUUCUGUUACCCAGUGAAGACUAGAAAAUGUUAAUAAGGUUCCUGGGAAGGCAAAAAUGUUCCUGAAAUCUUUUGAAAAGUAUCCUGUAUGUAAAACUGUAAAGAUCAACAAAUCUUGUUUGCAAGGCUUGACGUGACGAUUUCCCACUGACAAAUUGUUUACAAACUUCAAAACCAUAAAUCUUUAUUGACAAUCAACAUCUCAAGAGAUUCAAUGGAACCAUGUUAGCUCUGCGAUAUUAGUUGUCAAAAAGAAUAAUAUUUUUGAAGUUAAUGGUAAAUUUGUUCAUAUGUUACAUUCACAAAAAUGUUCAACCACAAAAACCUUUACAUGUAUAUUUCUCCAAGCUAGAAUGGACUAUUUUACAUGAAAACAGCAGAUGAUUUAUCUGUAGUAUCCUAUCUAAGGCAUCAAAGACAAUAAGGCCAAUGACGCAAGGGGAAUAAAACACUUUAAUGUGUAACCAAGACAUGUCCUCUGUCCCAGUGCUGCAUAAAUAACUUUGCUUUUCUACCCCUUUCUAGAUGCACAUUUGCUUCUCUCGACUCUCAAAAAAGAAAAAAAACCCACACAACCAGCUUACAUAUAAAACAUUGUUAUUUAUUGAAGAG
Molecule: long non-coding RNA, 5819 nt
Filed under: Pelobates cultripes (western spadefoot toad)
Lineage: Eukaryota; Metazoa; Chordata; Amphibia; Anura; Pelobatidae
Source: RNAcentral